AUGAAAUCCAAUUUCCAAAUAUACAAAGUAGAGGGAAUUGUUCUGUUAUUUCAAACCAAGUUACAAAGUCUAAAAUUCAUGUACAAUUUCCUAUACCAAUAUCAAGUUCAUGACGAAGACUUUGCCAAUUACAACCAAAAGCCAAGAUACAUCCCAAUACAUCAAGAAUCCACAGAGAAAAGUUACAAGGCAUUUUUAACUUAA
Non-coding RNA from Vicia faba (fava bean), 204 nucleotides. Lineage: Eukaryota; Viridiplantae; Streptophyta; Magnoliopsida; Fabales; Fabaceae. The record is from the annotation of a GenBank genome assembly.